RNAcentral lists this transfer RNA (92 nucleotides) under Streptomyces tendae. RNAcentral describes it as "tRNA-Pro". The record is from RNAcentral. Lineage: Bacteria; Bacillati; Actinomycetota; Actinomycetes; Kitasatosporales; Streptomycetaceae.
CGUCGCCGUGGGCGGAGGAGCCGAGGUUGUCGGUGAAGCCGAAGACGCGGACGCGGGUGGCGUUCUGGGUUCUGAUCUCGUCGGCGAUGCCC